GGACAGGUGGCCGAGUGGUUGAAGGCAGCGGUCUUGAAAACCGCCAAGGGUUAACCCCCUUCGUGGGUUCGAAUCCCACCCUGUCCGCCA
RNAcentral lists this transfer RNA (90 nucleotides) under Minwuia thermotolerans. RNAcentral's name for it is "tRNA-Ser". It matches the Rfam family "tRNA". Rfam says of the family: Transfer RNA (tRNA) molecules are approximately 80 nucleotides in length. Lineage: Bacteria; Pseudomonadati; Pseudomonadota; Alphaproteobacteria; Minwuiales; Minwuiaceae. RNAcentral also lists the same sequence under 1 other name. The record is from RNAcentral.